Molecule: ribosomal RNA, 496 nt
Filed under: uncultured bacterium
Lineage: Bacteria
Description: partial 16S ribosomal RNA
Rfam family: Bacterial small subunit ribosomal RNA
Source: RNAcentral
GAUGAACGCUGGCGGCGUGCCUAAUACAUGCAAGUCGAGCGAACAGACGAGGAGCUUGCUCCUCUGACGUUAGCGGCGGACGGGUGAGUAACACGUGGAUAACCUACCUAUAAGACUGGGAUAACUUCGGGAAACCGGAGCUAAUACCGGAUAAUAUAUUGAACCGCAUGGUUCAAUAGUGAAAGACGGUUUUGCUGUCACUUAUAGAUGGAUCCGCGCCGCAUUAGCUAGUUGGUAAGGUAACGGCUUACCAAGGCAACGAUGCGUAGCCGACCUGAGAGGGGGAUCGCCCACACGGGAACGGGGACACGGUCCAGACUCCUAGGGGGGGCCGCAGUAGGGAAUCUUCCGAAAUGGGCGAAAGCCUGACGGAGCAACGCCGCGUGAGUGAUGAAGGUCUUCGGAUCGUAAAACUCUGUUAUUAGGGAAAAAAAAAUGUGUAAGUAACUAUGCCCGUCUUGACGGUACCUAAGCAGAAAGCCACGGCUAACUACGG